AUACGUAGGAGACGAGCGUUAUCCGGAUUUACUGGGUGUAAAGCGCAUGUAGGCGGGUUCCCAAGUCGAGCAUGAAAUCUCCCGGCUUAACCGGGAGGAGCGGUUCGAUACUAGGAGCCUUGAGGGUAGGAGAGGGAAGCAGAAUUCCCGGUGUAGUGGUGGAAUACGUAGAUAUCGGGAGGAAUACCAGUGGCGAAGGCGGCUUCCUGGCCUGCUCCUGACGCUGAGAUGCGAAAGCGUGGGUAGC
Molecule: ribosomal RNA, 247 nt
Filed under: uncultured bacterium
Lineage: Bacteria
Description: partial 16S ribosomal RNA
Rfam family: Bacterial small subunit ribosomal RNA
Source: RNAcentral